GCCUGAUCCAGCCAUGCCGCGUGCAGUGAUGACGGUCCUAUGGAUUGUAAACUGCUUUUAUACGAGAAAAAACACUCCUUCGUGAAGGAGCUUGACGGUAUCGUAAGAAUAAGGAUCGGCUAACUCCGUGCCAGCAGCCGCGGUAAUACGGAGGAUCCGAGCGUUAUCCGGAAUCAUUGGGUUUAAAGGGUCCGUAGGCGGUUUAGUAAGUCAGUGGUGAAAGCCCAUCGCUCAACGGUGGAACGGCCAUUGAUACUGCUGAACUUGAAUUAUUAGGAAGUAACUAGAAUAUGUAGUGUAGCGGUGAAAUGCUUAGAGAUUACAUGGAAUACCAAUUGCGAAGGCAGGUUACUACUAAUGGAUUGACGCUGAUGGACGAAAGCGUGGGUAGCGAACAGGAUUAGAUACCCUGGUAGUCCACGCCGUAAACGAUGGAUACUAGCUGUUGGAAGCAAUUUCAGUGGCUAAGCGAAAGUGAUAAGUAUCCCACCUGGGGAGUACGUUCGCAAGAAUGAAACUCACAGGAAUUGACGGGGGCCCGCACAAGCGGUGGAGCAUGUGGUUUAAUUCGAUGAUACGCGAGGAACCUUACCAAGGCUUAAAUGUAAAUUGACCGAUUUGGAAACAGAUCUUUCGC
Molecule: ribosomal RNA, 637 nt
Filed under: Flavobacterium sp. So2Ps_810
Lineage: Bacteria; Pseudomonadati; Bacteroidota; Flavobacteriia; Flavobacteriales; Flavobacteriaceae
Description: bacterial SSU rRNA
Rfam family: Bacterial small subunit ribosomal RNA
Source: RNAcentral